Centropristis striata (black sea bass) is the source of this 351-nucleotide long non-coding RNA. RefSeq lists it as uncharacterized. The transcript is spliced from 3 exons. The record is from RefSeq and is a predicted model, not a curated record. NCBI's taxonomy places the organism in Eukaryota, Metazoa, Chordata, Actinopteri, Perciformes, Serranidae.
UCUGGAUGAGAACUAAAGGGAACAGAACACAGACCGCUGUCCAUAAUGAUGCAGAUGAAGGUUCAGUGGUGUAUGAAAACGUUGGAGAACCUUCUGUUUCUAUCAGACUCCCCUGAGCAACAACUUCAACAUCAGCUCAGAAAAAGAGUCCACUGCAGUUAAACAGCAUCUCAGGAUCAUUUUAUGUUUUGUGGUUGUGGUUACAGACAGAUACAGAAAGCAUCUGUAUUUUCAUAAAUUUGCAUGUUGUAGCUUCGCCUCAGUUUUAAUAUUGUUUGUGCAGAACAAACAGCCUUGCAGGGCCUUGCAGAAGUCCCUCAAACCUGCAUUCUUCCUAAUGUCCAGCAGGGG